AUUGAACGCUGGCGGCAGGCCUAACACAUGCAAGUCGAGCGAACCUAGCUUGCUAGGUGAGCGGCGAACGGGUGAGUAACGCGUAGGAAUCUGCCUGGUAGUGGGGGACAACGUUCCGAAAGGGACGCUAAUACCGCAUACGCCCUACGGGGGAAAGUGGGGGACCUUCGGGCCUCACGCUAUCAGAGGAGCCUGCGUCGGAUUAGCUAGUUGGUGGGGUAAAGGCUCACCAAGGCGACGAUCCGUAACUGGUCUGAGAGGAUGAUCAGUCACACCGGAACUGAGACACGGUCCGGACUCCUACGGGAGGCAGCAGUGGGGAAUAUUGGACAAUGGGGGAAACCCUGAUCCAGCCAUGCCGCGUGUGUGAAGAAGGCCUUCGGGUUGUAAAGCACUUUAAGCGAGGAGGAAGGUUCGCUGGCUAAUAUCCAGCGGAAUUGACGUUACUCGCAGAAUAAGCACCGGCUAACUCCGUGCCAGCAGCCGCAGUAACAC
RNAcentral lists this ribosomal RNA (495 nucleotides) under uncultured bacterium. Its description in RNAcentral is "bacterial SSU rRNA". It matches the Rfam family "Bacterial small subunit ribosomal RNA", at positions 30 to 526 of the family's 1533-position model. The record is from RNAcentral.